CAGCUGACCCUGUGAGGGAUGAUUUGUCCACUUUGUUUUCAGGGAGAAGAAACUUGGGGUCGCUGCCACUGGAGCCGCAGACCCUGAGAGACAGGUGGAGCAGAACUCACCUCCUCCACCAUCACUCAGCAGACGUGUCUGCGUUUGUUGCUGCGUCGGUUUCAAAUGUUUUUAUUGCGAAGCAUUGUGUUCAAAAAUAGCAAAACAUGGUAUUGCCAUUUUUAUUUUCCAUAUAAACAAACAUAACGUCAGAAGACACAAGAAGAACUUUCUUCAAAUAGAAAUAAGAAAAAACAAGUCAAGAUAAUCUAAUAAAGAAUAAAGAAAGAAUAUAAUAACAUAAACAUAAUAAUAAAAUAAUAAUAAAAUAAUUGAUUAAAAACAGAUAACAAUAACAACAAUUAUACUAUGUGCAUGUGUUGCUGUAUCAGGAUGAUGUUUCGUAGACAAAAACACAAUAAACACAUCUCACAUGUCACAAACUAUUUAUUAUUAUAUAUUUUCUGAUGUGACGCAUUGAGCAACAUCUUAUCUUGAGGUUUUCUCCACAUUUACUGGCUGGAUAUCUUUUAUUUACACGAUGCAUCUCUUCUUCCGACCGCAUCAAGCAGUUCAGGGCUGGAAAUCGGCCAUUUGACGGCUGGAGACGAGAUGUCCUCCACAAGCCCGGAGUCGAUCUGCAGGCUGUGGGGAAAGAGCCAAACCCAAAGUCAAGAGAUGACAAACACACAGAGGACGCAGAGCAGAGAGGAAGGUCUCAUGUGGGCUACAGAGCAGCUCUCAGUCAGCUGACCGGGUCCAGAACGAGACGAGAUGUCCCCUCGCUGGACUACUUUAAUGAGGACUACCACAGGGACUUCUCAAACGUUCUAGGCGAGGUGGCCAACCUGAGGGUCCCUGGUGUUCCUGCUCCUGCUCCUCCCACUGGGACUCCACAGGAUGCAGCUUAUUACAACUACAGAACCAGGACUCCUUCCAAUCUGAGUUCAGUAUUUCAAACAUCUUCGUGUCGACAAAUCAUGUCCGCUUUGUAAUACUGGGAACCAUGUGUAUGUGUAUGUUCUGUUUCCCCACAUAUCUGUGGUAUGAACAUUAACUGUCAAACUUACAUCAUCACCGUGUAUAAAAACAGCCACGACGUUUGUUCAAAAAAACAUUAAAAAGUAUUAUA
RNAcentral lists this long non-coding RNA (1171 nucleotides) under Cottoperca gobio. RNAcentral's name for it is "lncRNA (ENSCGOG00000021337.1)". Lineage: Eukaryota; Metazoa; Chordata; Actinopteri; Perciformes; Bovichtidae. The record is from RNAcentral.